RNAcentral lists this ribosomal RNA (491 nucleotides) under uncultured bacterium. RNAcentral's name for it is "partial 16S ribosomal RNA". It matches the Rfam family "Bacterial small subunit ribosomal RNA", at positions 28 to 507 of the family's 1533-position model. The record is from RNAcentral.
GAUGAACGCUGGCUACAGGCUUAACACAUGCAAGUCGAGGGGAAACGACGGGGAAGCUUGCUUCCCCGGGCGUCGACCGGCGCACGGGUGAGUAACGCGUAUCCAACCUGCCUCUGACUGAGGGAUAACCCGUCGAAAGUCGGCCUAAUACCUCAUGGCAUCGUCUGCGGGCAUCCAACGACGAUUAAAGAUUUCAUCGGUCAGGGAUGGGGAUGCGUCUGAUUAGCUUGUUGGCGGGGUAACGGCCCACCAAGGCUACGAUCAGUAGGGGUUCUGAGAGGAAGGUCCCCCACAUUGGAACUGAGACACGGUCCAAACUCCUACGGGAGGCAGCAGUGAGGAAUAUUGGUCACUGGGCGGGAGCCUGAACCAGCCAAGUAGCGUGCAGGAUGACGGCCCUAUGGGUUGUAAACUGCUUUUAUGCGGGGAUAAAGUGAGGGACGUGUCCUUCAUUGCAGGUACCGCAUGAAUAAGGACCGGCUAAUUCCGUG